RNAcentral lists this ribosomal RNA (446 nucleotides) under uncultured bacterium. Its description in RNAcentral is "partial 16S ribosomal RNA". It matches the Rfam family "Bacterial small subunit ribosomal RNA", at positions 338 to 795 of the family's 1533-position model. The record is from RNAcentral.
CCUACGGGAGGCAGCAGUCGAGAAUCAUUCACAAUGGGGGAAACCCUGAUGGUGCGACGCCGCGUGGGGGAAUGAAGGUCUUCGGAUUGUACACCCCUGUCAUGUGGGAGCAAAUUAAAAAGAUAGUACCACAAAAGGAAGAGACGGCUAACUCUGUGCCAGCAGCCGCGGUAAUACAGAGGUCUCAAGCGUUGUUGGGAAUCACUGGGCGUAAAGCGUUCGUAGGUUGUUUCGUAAGUCGUGUGUGAAAGGCGCGGGCUCAACCCGCGGACGGCAAAUGAGACUGCGAGACUAGAGUAAUGGAGGGGGAACCGGAAUUCUCGGUGUAGCAGUGAAAUGCGUAGAUAUCGAGAGGAACACUCGUGGCGAAGGCGGGUUCCUGGACAUUAACUGACGCUGAGGCACGAAGGCCAGGGGAGCGAAAGGGAUUAGAUACCCUUGUAGUC